Molecule: ribosomal RNA, 497 nt
Filed under: uncultured bacterium
Lineage: Bacteria
Description: partial 16S ribosomal RNA
Rfam family: Bacterial small subunit ribosomal RNA
Source: RNAcentral
GACGAACGCUGGCGGCGUGCCUAAUACAUGCAAGUUGAGCGCUGAAGGUUGGUACUUGUACCGACUGGAUGAGCAGCGAACGGGUGAGUAACGCGUGGGGAAUCUGCCUUUGAGCGGGGGACAACAUUUGGAAACGAAUGCUAAUACCGCAUAAAAACUUUAAACACAAGUUUUAAGUUUGAAAGAUGCAAUUGCAUCACUCAAAGAUGAUCCCGCGUUGUUUUAGCUAGUUGGUGAGGUAAAGGCUCACCAAGGCGAUGAUACAUAGCCGACCUGAGAGGGUGAUCGGCCACAUUGGGACUGAGACACGGCCCAAACUCCUACGGGAGGCAGCAGUAGGGAAUCUUCGGCAAUGGACGAAAGUCUGACCGAGCAACGCCGCGUGAGUGAAGAAGGUUUUCGGAUCGUAAAACUCUGUUGGUAGAGAAGAACGUUGGUGAGAGUGGAAAGCUCAUCAAGUGACGGUAACUACCCAGAAAGGGACGGCUAACUACGUG